GGGUGUAAGGUUUACUGCUGUUCGCUACAGAAAGUACUAUGUGGCGGAGAUUCACGUCCUCGUGAGGUAGGCCCCAUGCACGUGUGCAGUUCUUAAUCACACUACGUCAUGCAGUAUGUGGAUAACUGAAAGUGGGUACCCUUUUGAAUGUAGUUGUGAACUAAAGUAGAAGUAAAACCGAUUUAGACCUAACACUAACCGAUAAGAAGUAUAAAUGGAUGUUGUUAGUUGAUGGGACAAUAGACAGUUGGACAAUAAAAGGGUCGCUUGAGGGUGGUGCCAUCUGCUUAGUGUUAUUAAACAUCGCAUCUGGUAAACUGACGUUUCCCGUUGUCGGUUUGUGACGUUUAUAUUGGUGGCGUUCUCUCCUUUUGUCGAAUACAGGCGCCUGUUAGGAUAGAGGAUUACAGUGUGCAGUGAAUCAGAACGCUUCUUCAGGGUAAUUACGUCAACUGUGAGAUUAACCGUCAGAGUUCUUUCUCCUCCUAAGGGAGGAGCUGUGGGGUCAGCAUCAUCAUGUGGCAGCAGGACACUGAAGUCAAUUGGCAGGAAAGAUGCCAUGAACUUGAAAGGUCGUUACAGCAUUUUCGUGAACAGGCGACAAGGAUACGAGGACUACUUAAAGAAAAGAUAAAUCCCGAAGAAGACGUAGAGGACGUUGUACAUGUAGAAUGUAUUUGAAAGUGGAAGCCGGCUUC
Molecule: long non-coding RNA, 698 nt
Organism: Limulus polyphemus (Atlantic horseshoe crab)
Lineage: Eukaryota; Metazoa; Arthropoda; Merostomata; Xiphosura; Limulidae
Exons: 3
Source: RefSeq, a predicted model, not a curated record